UGGGGAAUAUUGGACAAUGGGGGGAACCCUGAUCCAGCCAUGCCGCGUGUGUGAAGAAGGCCUUAUGGUUGUAAAGCACUUUAAGCGAGGAGGAGGGUACUGGUAUUAAUACUACCAGGUACUGGACGUUACUCGCAGAAUAAGCACCGGCUAACUCUGUGCCAGCAGCCGCGGUAAUACAGAGGGUGCGAGCGUUAAUCGGAUUUACUGGGCGGAAAGCGAGCGUAGGCGGAUAAUUGAGUCGGAUGUGAAAUCCCCGAGCUUAACUUGGGAAUUGCAUUCGAUACUGGUUAGCUAGUGUGUGGGAGAGGAUGGUAGAAUUCCAGGUGUAGCGGUGAAAUGCGUAGGUAUCUGGAGGAAUACCGAUGGCGAAGGCAGCCAACUGGCCUUUAACAGACGCUGAGGUACGAAAGAAUGGGGAGCAAACAGG
Molecule: ribosomal RNA, 430 nt
Filed under: Pseudomonadota bacterium
Lineage: Bacteria; Pseudomonadati; Pseudomonadota
Description: Proteobacteria bacterium partial 16S ribosomal RNA
Rfam family: Bacterial small subunit ribosomal RNA
Source: RNAcentral